Microcebus murinus (gray mouse lemur) is the source of this 2285-nucleotide non-coding RNA. The record is from RefSeq and is a predicted model, not a curated record. NCBI's taxonomy places the organism in Eukaryota, Metazoa, Chordata, Mammalia, Primates, Cheirogaleidae.
GGGGCGCAUCCUGCGGGGGGCGCUGUCGGGGCCGGGCUGGCGGCCGGGCCUGGGUCCUGGCUCAGUCCUCCGCUCAGCCAGCACGGUAGUGAAAAGACCGCAAACCAGCGGUACCCAGCCGCAGAGGCUCCCUGGUUCCUCUGCCAAGGUGUCUCCAUUGGUAAAAGUCAGAAGGGCUGGACUGGGAGAGGCCAGUCCAGCUUUUGCUAUAUUUCCAGUUGGGGCUAAGCCAGUGUGUGAGUUGGGAGUCAACUCCCCUUCUCCUUUAAACGUUAGUUGGAAAGGAAAAUAUUCAGUUGUCACCAAGAAUCCACCACACCCCUAAACUGACAAUACUCAUUGAUGGUCCCAUGUUGCAAUAGUACAGAUUUAAGCAGGAAGCUAGAUGGUCCCUUUUCUGUGCGGGUGGCUCUACGGUUUAAAAUAUAGUUUACUCAAGGAAUUUAUUGCAUAUCUAAUACAUGGUAGGAUCUGGGAAGGGGACAGGAGAUAGAAACACUCAAAACCAAAAUGCCCUGGCCUUCAGAAGUUUACGAUUCAGUGAAGAUACUCAAAGGCUAUACCGCACACAAUACUUAGGGUGAGAUUGGGAGGGAAGCUAGUGAACAAAAGCUUAAAAAGGGAAAAACUACACUCUCAUAGACACAGUAACCAGAGUACAGAGGGAUUUGGGGUCUUAUUCGCACUGUUUUUAUCAUUCUUGUCCCAGAUUUGCAUGGUGAAAAUUUUGUGGGCCCUCAAAAAUGUUAAAUUUUUGAUUUAUUGAAAAUGAUAAUAAUGGGGCUCAUGUUUGAUGUACUAGUGUACAUUUUUGCUAGGCUUUUAAGUUAUUUUGUUGUGAAACAUCACAACAAAAUAGAGAAAAUAAAACUAUCUUUAGCUCUUACUAUGAACAUAACAUAUUCCAAAAUCACUAUUUUGUGAAAUUGUCUAUGAUGUAAUAUGUAGAAUUUCAGGCGCCACCAAUCACUUUAUUGGUGAGGAGUAGGACAGCUCAAGUUGAGGUAUCUAUGCUAUUAAUACUAUUCCUGCAAGAUUCACCCGGCCGUGCAUCCUCCAAGGAGUCUUUCUUCACUCUUCUAAUUAAAUUAUCUCUCUCUCCCAGCACACCUUAACCAAUCGUGUAAGAAGAAGAUUGUGCAGUGGAAAUUCCAGCCAAUGGGAUGAGACACAGCCAUAGGUCUGCAUUAGGUAUAGAAAGGGGAGGAACCCCCCCUGUAGCUCACUGGCCGGCUGCUCUUGCUGAGGAUCGGUGCCUUUCUGAUCAGAAGAAAAAAUUUUGCCUUACUGAGACAGUUUGCAGUGUCUAUUUUCUUAACAACAUUGUGGGUCAUUUCUAACAUAACCAAAACUUUGUACAUUUUAAUCAUUGCCUCUCCAUUUCCCACUUCCCUCAGCCCCUGGCACCCACCAUUCUAUGAGCUUUGCUUCUAUGAGCUUGACUAUCUUAGAGUCUAUAUGUAAGUGGAAUCAUACAGUAUUUGUCUUUCUGUGUCUGGUUUAUUUCACUUAACAUAAUGCCCCCCAGGCCCUUCUCCUAAAUAGCAGGAUUUCCUUCUUUUUUAGGUCAAAUAAUAUUACAUUACAUGUAUAUUGACAACCCAAAAUAAGUGACUGAAGCAAAGGUCUCAGUCAUGGAGGUUCAUUAAGCCAAAGUUGAGGACGAACCCAUGAAAAACAAAAACCACAGACAAACUGUGGUUGUUUUUCCAAAGCAGGAUUUGGGAACUCAGGUUUUAAAGGGUAUAGGGUAUAUAGAAAGAAACAAAGAAGAAGGGGGUGGGCAGUGAAACAAAAUGGUUACAUUCUUAUGAGACUAUAUUUUACAUAAGGAGAAUGUUAGAAGAGAAAAAAUGAGUGAAGGAAGCACCAAUUUUGCAGAUGUCCCCAGUGGGUGGCAGAAUGUUUGAUCUUGUCUCUGUUCUGCAUGUGGGAAGAUAAACCUAUAAUCGACAUGAUUCAUGUGGAAUCAAGCAGAUUUUAGUUUUAGGAUCUAGCCCCAAAGUUUCAAUUUGCUUAUGGGAGACCAGCAAGGAAUUUCCUUAUGAAUGAUCUGUGGGUGCAGGCCAUGGCAAAUGCCUGAGGCCCCUUACCUGACUAACUCAUAGUUAUUAUUAUUUUUUUUAGUUUCCAAGAACUCCUUGUUCUAAAGCUGUCAGCUCUGUGAGGGCAGGCCUUCUGCUCUGGGCCAGUCUCCAUGGCACCCCAGCACUUAGGCCCACCCAGCAUUGCAGAGCAUACCCUAGGAAAAUAGCCUAAGAUGAAAAUAGCACCCAGCCCUCCAG